RNAcentral lists this ribosomal RNA (216 nucleotides) under Glomeromycotina sp. RNAcentral's name for it is "partial small subunit ribosomal RNA". The stretch from base 40 to 216 matches the Rfam family "Eukaryotic small subunit ribosomal RNA", at positions 686 to 864 of the family's 1831-position model. Lineage: Eukaryota; Fungi; Glomeromycota. The record is from RNAcentral.
GGGUCAGUAGGUUGGUCUUGCCACCGGUACGUACUGGUCUCACUGAUUCCUCCUUCCUGAAGAACCGUAAUGCCAUUAAUUUGGUGUUGCGGGGAAACAGGACUGUUACUUUGAAAAAAUUAGAGUGUUUAAAGCAAGCUAACGCUUGAAUACAUUAGCAUGGAGUAAUGAAAUAGGACGAUCGAUCCUAUUUUGUUGGUUUCUAGGAUUGACGUA